RNAcentral lists this ribosomal RNA (256 nucleotides) under uncultured bacterium. Its description in RNAcentral is "partial 16S ribosomal RNA". It matches the Rfam family "Bacterial small subunit ribosomal RNA", at positions 524 to 776 of the family's 1533-position model. The record is from RNAcentral.
UACGUAGGGUGCAAGCGUUGUCCGGAAUUAUUGGGCGUAAAGAGCUCGUAGGCGGUUUGUCGCGUCUGCUGUGAAAACCCGAGGCUCAACCUCGGGCCUGCAGUGGGUACGGGGCAGACUAGAGUGCGGUAGGGGGAGAUUGGAAUUCCUGGUGUAGCGGUGGAAUGCGCAGAUAUCAGGAGGAACACCAAUGGCGAAGGCAGAUCUCUGGGCCGUAACUGACGCUGAGGAGCGAAAGCAUGGGGGAGCGAACAGG